This is a non-coding RNA of Acanthosepion pharaonis, 108 nucleotides long. The record is from the annotation of a GenBank genome assembly. Lineage: Eukaryota; Metazoa; Mollusca; Cephalopoda; Sepiida; Sepiidae.
GGCUAUAUCAUUUUGAAACACUGGUUCUCACCCAAUUACUGAAGUUAAGCAAGCCAAGCUUGAUCAGUACUUAGAUGGGUGACUCCUUGGGAAUACCAGUGCUGUAAG